CCUAUAUAUCUUAAUGGCGGCWUUUCAUCUUAUUARAGGAAUAUGUCUAUUAAUCGACUGUACACGUUAAAUUUUACUUAUAACAAAAUCUUAUAUACCUCCGUCUAAAGAAUUAAUUAUAAAAUACAAUUCCAAAUAAUAAUUCUAAUAUGUCAGGUAARGGUGUARACAAUUUAUAAGACAUAGAUGUAUUACUUUAARAAUAACUUUAAGGAAAAAAUARAAAACUAUUUUCGUAAAAAGGAUUUAAACGUAAUAAACCAAUACUAUUUCUUUAUGUAAAAGAAAAUAAAUGUGC
This 298-nucleotide ribosomal RNA is filed under the name Arkys sp. LB-2014e. Its description in RNAcentral is "partial 12S ribosomal RNA". Lineage: Eukaryota; Metazoa; Arthropoda; Arachnida; Araneae; Araneidae. The record is from RNAcentral.